GGAGAAAAGCAGGGGAUCGCAAGACCUUGCGCUUUUGGAGCGGCCGAUGUCUGAUUAGCUAGUUGGUGGGGUAAUGGCUUACCAAGGCUUCGAUCAGUAGCUGGUCUGAGAGGACGACCAGCCACACUGGGACUGAGACACGGCCCAGACUCCUACGGGAGGCAGCAGUGGGGAAUUUUGGACAAUGGGGGAAACCCUGAUCCAGCCAUGCCGCGUGAGUGAAGAAGGCCUUCGGGUUGUAAAGCUCUUUCAGCCGGAACGAAAAGGUCACGGCUAAUACCCGUGACAAAUGACGGUACCGGAAGAAGAAGCACCGGCUAACUACGUGCCAGCAGCCGCGGUAAUACGUAGGGUGCAAGCGUUAAUCGGAAUUACUGGGCGUAAAGCGUGCGCAGGCGGUUUUGUAAGUCAGAUGUGAAAUCCCCGGGCUUAACCUGGGAACUGCGUUUGAAACUACAAAGCUAG
This 465-nucleotide ribosomal RNA is filed under the name uncultured bacterium. Its description in RNAcentral is "bacterial SSU rRNA". It matches the Rfam family "Bacterial small subunit ribosomal RNA", at positions 198 to 644 of the family's 1533-position model. The record is from RNAcentral.